RNAcentral lists this ribosomal RNA (241 nucleotides) under uncultured bacterium. RNAcentral's name for it is "partial 16S ribosomal RNA". It matches the Rfam family "Bacterial small subunit ribosomal RNA", at positions 15 to 252 of the family's 1533-position model. The record is from RNAcentral.
GAUCAUGGCUCAGGAUGACCGCUAGCGGCAGGCUUAACACAUGCAAGUCGAGGGGCAGCGGGGUGUAGCAAUACACUGCCGGCGACCGGCGCACGGGUGCGUAACGCGUAUGCAACCUACCCAUAACAGGGGCAUAACACUGAGAAAUUGGUACUAAUUCCCCAUAACAUUUGAAGAGGCAUCUCUUUGGGUUGAAAACUCCGGUGGUUAUGGAUGGGCAUGCGUUGUAUUAGCUAGUUGG